This 389-nucleotide long non-coding RNA is filed under the name Durio zibethinus. Its description in RNAcentral is "long non-coding RNA (DZIB_LNC001457)". The record is from RNAcentral. Lineage: Eukaryota; Viridiplantae; Streptophyta; Magnoliopsida; Malvales; Malvaceae.
GGGGGGUGUGCGCACAUGAUGUGUGUUGACAUCAAUUUUGUCCUCAAAAAUAAAAAUAAUAAUAUUAUACGAAAUACAAAAAAAAUAAAUACCAAAAAAUAAUACAAAAAAAGCAAAAAAAUAAAAAAAAAGAAAAAUAAUUGAGGAUGGCAUUGGUGCCAUCCCCGGCACCACUGCCACCAGGCCCACCACCCAUCACAUACCCUGUUCAUCCUACCCUACUACCAAAAAAUACAGAAGAAAUAAAGAGGCGGGCUCAUGUUUACAUCCCGUGAUCGAGCCCCAUGCCCUUCCCUCCAAACACGUAUGGCUGGAGCUCUAUAAAUAGAGCUCAUAGCGAAGCCAAAACGGACAGAGAAGAAGGAGGGGGAGAUUCUAUAAAAAAAAAC